UUGGUUUAGUGGCGCACGGGUGCGUAACGCGUAUGCAACCUACCUUCCACAGGGGGAUAGCCUUCCGAAAGGGAGAUUAAUACCGCAUAACAUCAUUUGAGGGCAUCCGAAGAUGAUCAAAGCUGAGGCGGUGGAAGAUGGGCAUGCGUGCCAUUAGCUAGUUGGUAGGGUAACGGCCUACCAAGGCUUCGAUGGCUAGGGGUUCUGAGAGGAUGGUCCCCCACACUGGUACUGAGACACGGACCAGACUCCUACGGGAGGCAGCAGUAGGGAAUAUUGGGCAAUGGCCGCGAGGCUGACCCAGCCAUGCCGCGUGCAGGAAGAAGGCCUUCUGGGUUGUAAACUGCUUUUAUCUGGGAAGAAAACGCUCCUGCGGGGGUAACUGACGGUACCAGAUGAAUAAGCACCGGCUAACUCCGUGCCAGCAGCCGCGGUAAUACGGAGGGUGCAAGCGUUGUCCGGAUUUAUUGGGUUUAAAGGGUGCGUAGGCGGCCCUGUAAGUCAGCGGUGAAAUCCCAGGGCUCAACCCUGGAACUGCCGUUGAUACUGCAGGGCUUG
RNAcentral lists this ribosomal RNA (558 nucleotides) under uncultured bacterium. RNAcentral describes it as "bacterial SSU rRNA". It matches the Rfam family "Bacterial small subunit ribosomal RNA", at positions 87 to 644 of the family's 1533-position model. The record is from RNAcentral.